RNAcentral lists this long non-coding RNA (259 nucleotides) under Amphimedon queenslandica. RNAcentral describes it as "uncharacterized LOC109590079". The record is from RNAcentral. Lineage: Eukaryota; Metazoa; Porifera; Demospongiae; Haplosclerida; Niphatidae.
GCUGUCCAGCAAAUACUACUCAGAAUCUAAAGUUUUAAAGCUAAAACUCAUCCUUGAAAUUUUUGUGAAGAAGACCUAGUGGUAUAGAAAUUACUGAAGAGGCUAAUUGUAUUAAUUGUAAUGGAAACUGAUCUUUUACUGGAAGUGAGUAAGAUUCCUGCAGAUGUACAGGCUAAAGGAUAUUGGCGUAGUCCUCAUGCAUCCUCAGGCUCUUGUCCCAGUACUUUAGUACAGGGUAUUUAGCCAAAAAAUCACAAAG